GAUGAACGCUGGCGGCGUGCCUAAUACAUGCAAGUCGAGCGAACGGACGAGAAGCUUGCUUCUCUUAUGUUAGCGGCGGACGGGUGAGUAACACGUGGAUAACCUACCUAUAAGACUGGGAUAACUUCGGGAAACCGUAGCUAAUACCGGAUGAUAUUUUGAACCGCAUGGUUCAUAAUUGAAAGACGGUCUUGCUGUCACUUAUAGAUGGCUCCGGUCUUCAUUAGUUAUUUGUUAAUGUAACGGCUUACCAAGGCAACGAUGCAUAGCCGACCUGAGAGGGGGGUCGGCCACACUGGAACUGAGAAACGGUCAAGACUCCUACGGGAGGCAGCAGAAGGGAAUCUUCGGAAAUGGGGGAAAGCCUGACGGAGCAAGGCCGCGGGAGGGAUGAAGGUCUUGGGAUGGUAAAACUCUGUUAUUAGGGAAGAACAUAUGUGUAAGUAAAUGUGCACAUCUUGACGGUACCUAAUCAGAAAGCCACGGCUAACUACGUG
This 497-nucleotide ribosomal RNA is filed under the name uncultured bacterium. RNAcentral describes it as "partial 16S ribosomal RNA". It matches the Rfam family "Bacterial small subunit ribosomal RNA", at positions 28 to 507 of the family's 1533-position model. The record is from RNAcentral.